Molecule: ribosomal RNA, 1342 nt
Filed under: Burkholderia mallei 2002721280
Lineage: Bacteria; Pseudomonadati; Pseudomonadota; Betaproteobacteria; Burkholderiales; Burkholderiaceae
Description: 16S ribosomal RNA
Source: RNAcentral
AGCGCCUGCGCGCGGCCGAUCUCGCCGCCGUUCGCCGUCACCGCGCUGUUGAGCGCCAUGUUCUGCGGCUUGAACGGCGCGACGCGCGCGCCCGUGCGGCGCGCGAGCCGGCACAGGCCCGCGACGAGCGUGCUCUUGCCCGCGUCGGACGUCGUGCCCUGGAUCAUCAGCGUGCCGCGCGGACGGGCGGCGUUGGCGUUGGCGUUGGCGUUGGCGUUGGCGUUGGCGUUGGCGUUGGCGUUGGCAAUCAUCGUGAACGAAUGGCGCGACGCGCGGCGCGCGGCAAAUGGCGAAGGCCGCAUUAUCGCGCGGCCCGUUACAAUCACGCGAUGAUUCCGCGCGACCUCACCUUCGUUCUCGGCGGCGCGCGCUCGGGCAAGAGCGCGCACGCCGAACGGCUCGCCGCCGCAGGCGGACGGCCCGUCACCUAUAUCGCCACCGCCCGCGUCGCGGACGACGAAUUCGCCGAGCGCAUCGCGCAUCAUCGCGCGCGCCGGCCGGCCGGCUGGGCGCUCGUCGAGGCGCCCGUCGAGCUCGCGCCCGCGCUCGCCCGGCUCGACGACGCGAACGCGUGCGUGCUCGUCGAUUGCCUCACGCUGUGGCUCACGAACCUGCUCUGCCCGGCCGACGGCCCGGGCGUCGACGACGCGCGCUGCGACGCUUACGUCGCCGAACUCGAAGCGGCGCUGCGCGCGAGCCGCGCGCGGGUGAUCGUCGUCAGCAACGAGAUCGGCUUCGGCGUCGUGCCGCUCGGCAGGCAGACGCGCCGCUUCGUCGAUACGCUCGGCCGCGUCAAUCAGCGCAUCGCGGCGCUCGCGACACGCGUGACGCUGUGCGUGGCCGGCCUGCCCGUCAUGGUCAAGGACGAGGGCGAACCGCGAUGCUGAUGCUGUCGCUGCCCGCCGUCGCCUGCCUCGCGGUCGCCGGCUGCGUCGUCGACAAGCUCGUCGGCGAGCCGCGCGCCGCGCAUCCGCUCGUCGCGUUCGGCCGGCUCGCCGCGCGCCUCGAACGCGCGCUCAACACCGGACGGCGCGGCCGGCUCGCGGGCCUCGCCGCGUGGCUCGCCGCCGUCGCGCCGCCCGUCGCGCUCGCCGCGUGGCUCGCCGCCGCGCUGCACGUCGCGCUGCACGUCGCGCUGCUGUGGUUCGCGCUCGGCGCGCGCAGCCUCGCCGAGCACGUCGCGCCGAUCGCCGCGGCGCUGCUGCGCCGCGAUCUCGCGGCCGCGCGCGCGCUGACCGCGCGCAUCGUGUCGCGCGACACGAGCGCCGCCAACGAGGCCGCGCUGUCGCGCGCGGCGGUCGAAUCGGCGCUCGAGAACGGCAACGACGCGAUCUUCGGUGCG